This is a non-coding RNA of Chinchilla lanigera (long-tailed chinchilla), 1390 nucleotides long. Lineage: Eukaryota; Metazoa; Chordata; Mammalia; Rodentia; Chinchillidae. The record is from the annotation of a RefSeq genome assembly.
UUUACAUUUGCUCCUGAGGGGGGCGCGGGGUGUGUUCCCCGGUGGCAGGAAGGCUGUGGGGCCCAGGCCGGGAGAUUAGGGACUCAGAAUGACUCCUCCUGAAGAGCUCCAUCCCCCUUUGUCUAACAGGCGCCCAUAAGACUCCUCUGUCCUGCUGGGCCCCUGCCAUGGGCCUCGGUUUCCUCUGUUGUGUGGCUUUUUGCCUCCUGCAGGCAGGUCCAGGGAAUGCUGGCAUCACGCAGACCCCCAAGUUCCAGGUCCUGAAGACAGGCCAGCGCAUGACACUGAGCUGUGCCCAGGAUCUGAAACACGACCGCAUGCACUGGUACCGACAGGAUCCAGGGCUGGGGCUGAGGCUCCUCUAUUACUCAUAUGAUGUUAACAUCACUGAAAAAGGGGAUAUUCCUGAUGGAUACAGUGUGUCUAGAUCAAGUAGAGAGCACUUCCCCCUCACCCUGGAGUCGGCGAGCCCCUCCCAGACAUCUGUGUACUUCUGUGCCAGCAGUGACCACACAGCGCUAUACGGCUGCCUCUGCUCUGCACAUUAAUACCCGGGAGGCCCCGCACCCGGGAACUCAGGGACACCCUGGCAGAGAUCUCAGCACAGGGAUGUUGGGACUCCAGUGACACUGGGUUUGCACUGCCAGUGUGUAUCUCCAGACCAUCUCAACCAGCCCUGGAUGCAGUCUGGAUCCAGAGGUCUCCACUGUUGCUCCUUGAUGGUGAUUCGCUGAAUCUGAUUUUUCCAGUUGUAAGCUUGAGGGAUACCAUCCAGCAUGGGACAGGGUUUGUGACUUGGACAUACAUGGGCUCCUUGUUCUGGAACCGCAUCAGUUUUCUGGAGAAUUCUCCCCCAGCCUCAUCUCUCAGGUGGUCUCACUGCUACCUUCCUUCUCCAUGAGGAUGGUUGUGCUCCAGAGCCCCACCAGGUCCUUCCUCUUCCCACCUCUCUAGCCUUUCCGUUCCAUCCACACUGCCAGGCGCUCAUCCAAGCCUGACUCUUCUAGUUGUACCUCCUCUGGCAUAGAGCUUUCCUUUUCUUAGAGACUAAGACUUACCUGGGCUGCAGGUCUCAGCAAUGCUGCUUCCAAGGGAAAUUUGCUCCCCUUUCUGCCAAGCUCAAUUUCCCUUCUGUAACCUUGCAAGGCCUCAUGUGCCUGCUACUCAGUAGAAUUUAGCACAGUUAGAAUUUUCUAGAACUUGGCGGAUUAUUUUUCUAUCCAACUAGAUUUUAAGGCUGUAACUGCCCCCUUAUCCCCUUACCCGCCUUACUAUACUGAGAACCUAUUGUACAGAGAAAGGGUGAAUGAAAGACUGACUGAAUGGAUGGAAGAACCAAUAACAAAACACCUUAGAUCACACAGUAACUUAGCAUUAACUAUAAGGAGAA